This 244-nucleotide ribosomal RNA is filed under the name Paramuricea clavata. RNAcentral's name for it is "Eukaryotic large subunit ribosomal RNA". It matches the Rfam family "Eukaryotic large subunit ribosomal RNA", at positions 2577 to 2822 of the family's 3401-position model. Lineage: Eukaryota; Metazoa; Cnidaria; Anthozoa; Malacalcyonacea; Plexauridae. The record is from Rfam by way of RNAcentral.
CGUGUUGAUAUAACUCAACUCGGGUUGUCAGGUUGGGAGUUUGGCUGGGGCGGCACAACUGUCAAAUGAUAACGCAGGUGUUCUAAGGUGAGCUCAAUAAGAACGGAAAUCUCAUGUAGAACAAAAGGGUACAAGCUCACUUGAUUUUGAUUUUCAGUAUGAAUACAAACUGUGAAAGCAUGGCCUAUCGAUCCCUUAGUCUUUACGAGUUUUAAGCUAGGGGUGUCAGAAAAGUUACCUCACG